CUAUGAUGGGGAUAACAGUUGGAAACGACUGCUAAUACCGAAUACGCUCAUGAUGAACUUUAUGAGGAAAGGUGGCCUCUGCUUGCAAGCUAUCGCAUAGAGAUGAGUCCGCGUCCCAUUAGCUAGUUGGUGGGGUAACGGCCUACCAAGGCAACGAUGGGUAGCCGAUCUGAGAGGAUGAUCGGCCACACUGGAACUGAAACACGGUCCAG
This 212-nucleotide ribosomal RNA is filed under the name uncultured bacterium. RNAcentral describes it as "partial 16S ribosomal RNA". It matches the Rfam family "Bacterial small subunit ribosomal RNA", at positions 132 to 334 of the family's 1533-position model. The record is from RNAcentral.